UGUUAAAAUUUUAUCCAUUUUUAUUGUUAAAACCUAGAGUGGUCAACAGCAUAAUCACGUCACAUGUAUCUCAUUCUGACAUACAAGGACUACUUUUAACAGUAGAAAUGAAUUGAGUUUUUAAUA
Molecule: non-coding RNA, 126 nt
Organism: Gossypium raimondii (Peruvian cotton)
Lineage: Eukaryota; Viridiplantae; Streptophyta; Magnoliopsida; Malvales; Malvaceae
Source: Rfam